GGAAGGAUCAUUGCGCACACA
Molecule: ribosomal RNA, 21 nt
Filed under: Lopidium concinnum
Lineage: Eukaryota; Viridiplantae; Streptophyta; Bryopsida; Hookeriales; Hypopterygiaceae
Description: partial 18S ribosomal RNA
Source: RNAcentral